UAGGAUCAAAGGCAUGUGCCACCAAGCCUGGCACAACAGGUCCAGCUUCUCUGAGGAAGGCAGAACUCUGCACUGCCAUCUACUUCAGGCUAUGAAAGCACCCACACAGAUGACGUCACUCCUGCCUUGCAGCUCGUCACUCCUGCCUUGCAACUGGGAGGAGGGCAUGAUUACUAAUAGUUGAACAGAUAUUAUUAAAAGAAGUGUAGUGAUUUGUCAAAGGUCAGAUCCUGAUGGAAGAACCUCUCUUCAGACUUACAUCUUCUGACUCGGCAUCCAGUGCUCACCCUUGCAACAUUUGUCAGCUGACGUAACCAGCCUUGAACGACACACGUGGCAGCGGGCAUGAGGUACCAGAAGUCAGAAGCAGGCUUUGGAUCCCCUGGAGCUACAGGCAACCCCUUUGUCUCUACAGACCUGUGUAUUCAGGAUGCUUCAGGGUUCACCCCUGUUAGACUGCAUCCUCUCCAUCUCCUGCUCAACACGCUCACUGUGUGACUCUACCGUGUCUUCACCUGCCCAUCCCUUCUGGCCAUUUAUUUUGGGUGAUGGUUCAUCUUCACAGUCAACUUGAUUGGGUUAACAUGACCGUGAGAACACACCUCUGGGUGUUUCCAGGAAGGGCUCAGUGAGGAGGAAAUACAGCCUGAAAAUGGAGAGCACUGUCCCGUGGGCUGAUGCAUGAGAAAUGGAGCAGAUCGGCGGAAUUCCUCUUUGCUUCCUGACUACCGACUGACACAGCAUGGCCAAGCACUUCAUACCUAUGCCCCCUGCCUUGUCUGCCGUGAUGGGCUGUAUGAUAUCACAUUUUAGCUACCGUGAAGAACACCCACUGCUCUGAGCCAUCCGACAUUCUUUGAGUGAAACAUGUUUGCUGGUCUUGCGGGGAGGAGUGGCGUUUCUAGGUUGCAUUAGGUCACACGUUUGCUUUAAGUUCAGCCUUUUGAGGAAAUUCCAAGUUCUCUACUUAAUAUUCCCACUAGCAAUGGGGACAAUUCGAAUUCCCCAGCCUGUCCUCUCUCUCCUCACCCUCUGGUCUCUGAAUGUAGCCCAGGCUGGCCUGUAACUUGUGAUUCUCCCUACCUCAGUCUCCCAAGUAGCUGGCUGUUAGGCACCGGCCACAAUGCUCAGCUUCUCCUUUUCAUGGAUUGAUGUAUUUGAGCCAGAUAUGGUGACACACAUCUCUAAUCCCAGUUCUUGAGAGGUAGAGGUAGGAGGAGAGAUAGUCCAAGGACAGACUUAGCUACAUAGUGAGUUCAGGCCAGUCUUAGCUACAUGAAAUCUAGUCUCAAAAAUAAAUAA
Mus musculus (house mouse) is the source of this 1302-nucleotide long non-coding RNA. RefSeq annotates it as predicted gene, 32409. NCBI's taxonomy places the organism in Eukaryota, Metazoa, Chordata, Mammalia, Rodentia, Muridae. The record is from RefSeq and is a predicted model, not a curated record. The transcript is spliced from 4 exons.